RNAcentral lists this long non-coding RNA (287 nucleotides) under Malus domestica (apple). RNAcentral describes it as "long non-coding RNA (MDOM_LNC020103)". Lineage: Eukaryota; Viridiplantae; Streptophyta; Magnoliopsida; Rosales; Rosaceae. The record is from RNAcentral.
UGAAGCUCAUCCUUGUUUACACAAGGGAUUCACCCAAGUGGAGGGCCUUCAAGUCACCUCCUAGCUACUUGGAUCUUCCUUGUGAUUUUCUUCCUUUUGAUGCUCCUUUGCUCCUUGAGGAUGUGAGGAAAGGAUCUCCAAAACACCAAAGAUUUGGUGUCUCUAAGUCUCCACUCCAAGGAUGAGGUGUGAAGAUGAAAUGGAUGACUUAGAGAAGAAAAGAUUGCUAGCUAUAUCUUCCCUAUGUGGCCGGCCUCCUUGUAGAGAAAAAGAGAGAACAUGUUUCU